CAAAUCCCUAAAAGACCAUCUCAUUCGGAUUGCAGGCUGCAACUCGCCUGCAUGAAGCUGGAAUUGCUAGUAAUCGCGGAUCAGCAUGCCGCGGUGAAUACGUUCCCGGGCCUUGUACACACCGCCCGUCACACCAUGAGAGUCGGGAACACCAGAAGUCCGUAGUCUAACCCGCAAGGGAGGGCGCGGCCGAAGGUGGGUCCGGUAAUUGGGGUGAAGUCGUAACAAGGUACC
This 234-nucleotide ribosomal RNA is filed under the name uncultured bacterium. RNAcentral describes it as "partial 16S ribosomal RNA". It matches the Rfam family "Bacterial small subunit ribosomal RNA", at positions 1268 to 1500 of the family's 1533-position model. The record is from RNAcentral.